CGGGUCGCACGAUCGGUGAUCGCCGGUGCACGAGGUGUCCCGCUCUUGUCGCGAAUUACGCCAACGGUGUGAAGUGCCGAAGGAAGUUGUUACGCUUCUGUCGAGCCGCGAGCCCUGAUAAAGGGUAAAAGAGCGGCGCGGGGCCGGUGUUCCGCACCAUAGAAACUGCAGCUGCGUUUCGAUCCGCCCGGAAAAGCUCUCUCUCUGUCUCUCUGGAUGACCCAGGACGAACUCUGCGCUGGAGCGCAACCAGAUGCUGCGCAACGAUACGGGCAAAUGAAAAAUGUUGUUUGAUCAUUAAGAACUCCACGUUUGAUCGUAAAAGAAGUCUCGGGUGAAUAAACCGUGAAGUGCCAAUAUCUGACAAAUAAAAGUUACGUCGGCGUAUAUAGACAAGCGACGCUAUACAGAAACGGAUGGGCUAGCGUUCGUCGGACGGUAAAAUUGAAGCAAACUUUGACGGCGCCACGAACGAGCGUUUCUCUCUGAAAGAAUGAGGCUGUCGUGUGAAAACCUAUUCGAUCGAGGAGAAUUAAUUUUCUCUUCCGGUCAUCGGGUCGCGGCAAAAUGACCGAGCUGGCGAGAUUAAUAGCGUCUUCAUGAGAGCGCGAAUAUCCCGUUAGUCGCUCGAUCAGCGAACAACAAGCGAUCACUCUUCGAUCCAUGAUUGGGUGCGAAAGAUACGCCCAAGUAAAACGACUAGUCGCAUCGGAACGAAGUUUUCUUCGAAUCAACUCGGAAGACGAAAACAAAAAGAAACAGAUAAAUUACACUACUUCAUAUAAUUUUGAACUCUUUUUUUGUAACAACAUUUCUUCACAACAUUCUUUUUAAAAUAUCACAAAUGCGAUGGGAGUUUCUCAAGCAACGUGAUAUCUCGUGAAAUUCUAACAGUGCAAGAAGAAAUAGACGGUGUUGGAACGCAAGCCAAAUCGAGGUGACCAAGGGUCGCGAAUAUCAUCUGGCAAAUAGCAAAAUUCAAAAGGGUGUAGCAUCGUCCAUCCUGUCGGCUGCAAUCCUCUCUAUUUUGCUGGCGGCUCUCUCCCGGUCAUUCUUCGUUCUAAAAUUCUCAUUUCAGCACCGCCGCCUUGCCAUUCGGUGUCCUCCCACGUCGCGAGCAUAAAAGUAUAACGACUUGGGGGCGCGUUACGUCCGCGACUCAAGAGGCGAGAGCCGCGAUAGCGCGGAAUCGUCCGGUAUAAUCUCAUAAAACCCGUGGGAGAGUUCACACACACACACACACACACAUAGGAAAAGUAACGAGUAGACGCUCCAAAUUGCACUUUUCCGAUAGUUAAAGAAAGUACAGCGAGAAUAUCAUCACCUCUCGAAACAGAUAAAACGUUUGCAAAGUACGAAACGUUCGCAAUUUACAAAGUAAACUUGAGCAACACGAUAUAGUAAAUUGAGAUUAAACAAUCAUACUGAUAAGAUCGUGAUAAUGAUAAGUUACAUUAUUUUAUGCAACUAUUCUGUCUUUAUACUUUCAAAGUACACGCAACGUGAUAGUGAUAAAACGCAGUGCGGUGAACCGUAAAGCUCUUACCGGUUCGACGCGAAUUCCGAAGAGAACGCUGUCCGGCGUGUUCGACACGAGAGAAUUCAAUCGCGAAAUGGACCGCGCGAUAUUUGAAUACUCGCGUUGGUUGUAGUAACGUGGUGAGUUUAGUGAAUCCCACACACCUCGAAGUGAGUAUUGUGAUCGAACAGAGUCCAUUUCCGGACAACGCCGAUACUUCGAUACUCGUCCGAUGUUCGUUCGCGCACCUCUCGAAACUUGGACAGAUCGCAAACAGUCGGAGAGAGCUUCGGGAUCUCUUCUUUGCUAAAGAAUCGGGCGAGUUCGCGCGUGUAAUUUGUUAUACGUGGACACUGAAACGCGGCGAAUCCCGAAGAUGGAUCACGUGCACGUAAGGUCGAGGAGCUCAGCUUCGAAGAGCAACCCGACGAAAAUGGCUUGCGAAAAAGCGUCGAGACGUCUCAGGACAAUUCUCGUGAAAGCGUCCCGCUUUGGUGUCUCUACGACGGAAGUCGCCAGAUUACCGGCGGCCAAGAAACUUAUUCCGCAAAGAGAUCACGGCUGGAAACUGGCGGUAUUUCUUCUGCUUAUGUUCGGAGGCGGAGUCAUCGUCGCCUUGAUCUGCACCACCAGGAAAGGAUGCUCAAAACUGGAGGAUAUUAGUCUGGCAACCUAGCCGUUGCGGCCCAUUAUUCCUCGGGGACCCAUAACGACGAUAACAACGAUGACGACGACGAUGACGACGAUGACGACGACGGCGACGGCGACGGCGACGGCGACGACGACGACGUCAUCGGUGACAACGAUGGCAGUAAUGAAGAAUCGUCCGAACAUAAAGUCCGUCACGUGUCAACACGGAAGCAGCUGGCCGAGCAACGAUCCCGAUACGAAUUAUUCAGACGGCCCUGAAACUACUUCAAAACGGUGGGACAUCAUACUCAAGUGUGCCCGAUGGCGCGAUUCGUCGUCGCCGGAUGGUGUCGUGUUGGAAGACAAUGGUGGAGUGACGAUACUUAGAGUGUGUUGAGUGACUGCGAUUGAUCGAUAAAGUGUGAUGAUACAAGGCACUGUAUCUUUUUACAGAUAGUUUGCCGAAGAGAAAUGUUGCGUGACGUUUGAGACAAAAUAAUUGCGUGAACAAAUGACGAGCGAUGCAGCAAAAGCAAUUUGUAUUGUGGAUCGAGAGAGAACAAGCACUUAAACUAAUUUCUUGUUCAAACAUGUUUUAUUUACACGUUUUGAAUUAUAUAUCGUGUGUUUAUUUUACAUUAAGUUUAUUCAAAAAAAACUGAUUGUUGAUAUUGACAUUUGUAUUUACAAAAAAAGCUUCUUGUAAUUGUGUACGGAAACGCUUGAGACUCAAUUACGUGGGGAAACACGAAGUAUUUUCGAAAGCGAAUGUUUCUCUCUCGAAAAAAUUGGACCGAGUCGGUAUGUUGCAGCGAAUGAACAUGAAACGCGAAAUUAAGGAAAACUACAAACGAAGCGAACAAGAAAAAUAGAAGUUUACGAACUCCAGUCGGUCACGCACGCGUUUUCGCGUGUCUGAAACGAAUAACGGAAAUAUUCUUACGUAUUUAUAUUUGUCUCUCUUGACGUUUUGUUUCCGCGAUCACAUAAAUCAUACAAAUUAUCGCAAUUCUCUGCGGGAUAUAUUCUAUACCGCGUAAUAGCGAAUAUUACAAGCAAUUUGGAAAAAUAGCGAAAAUAACACCCAGCGAAAAGAUCGGACAGAAAUUUUUACCGCACCUCUCAUUCGAUUCGCGAUAAUUUGUAAAAAUUAGAUGUCUCUGAUUCUUCUCCUAAAUACACUUUAACUAGAAACAUAUAUUUUUAUAACUUAUUUUUAAAAAAGCUAGAAGAAGAAAUAUUAUAAUAUUCCAAAAUUUUAACGAUCAUUAUGUUAUAUGAUGAUAUUUGCUACAUAAUGUAUAAAAUAUUUCCAUCGCUUCUGAAUAAUUUGAUAUUGCCAAAGAUUGCUUCUAUAUUAUGUGAAGAAGGACGGAGCAGUGUCGUACAUACAUACAUAUAUAUAUGUAACAAAUUUAUCAAAUACGUCAAAAAUAUGACAGAAGCGCGAACGCGAGACAGAAAGGGAAGGAGAAUCAGAGGAAAGCCGUCCAACAAAGUAGAAAAAGUCGAUUCCCCGGUGACUCGGACACGCGUCAUCGCGUGUCCCGGACAAAUUAGCGAUCCCUGACUUUGCUAUGGCUGAUUUAUUCGUCGCGGUAUGCAUCGUUCGGGCAUAUUAUCUCCGUCCUCGUCGGGUACAUGGGCUCGGGGAUUGAAUAUGUGCAAAAAUCGCCAGGAACAGCGCGUAAAAGUUUCGCGGGCGGAAGGGCUUUAAUCAAUUCCCCCGGCGUUAAUAGAAAGUAACUUCGGAUGGUAACUCUCAUUCGCGCUAAUUUAAAUUUAUGAGAACUUUGAGUUAAAUUCGAUACAACAUUUAUUGAUCUUUAUUGAAUAAUUUCAUUAAGUAAAAUAUUGCUUUUGUUAAUUAAUGUCAUACACGACGCGUUUCAUUUGUUACGGGACACAUAUUGAAAAUUAAUUAAUUUCACCACAUGUCGAUUUAAUGAUUCGUUAAUUGUUAUUUUCAUUUUGCAAAAGGACGAUUAUUAUUUUUCUUUGUUCGACAUCUGCUCGCGCCGCUUUCAAAUUAUAUCCGGGGUAUAAUGUAGGCGGAGGUUAACGAGACUAACACGCUAACGAUGCCAGCGUUAAUUACCGUCCUGGAUAGACCGCCUAAUCGCCGGGCGAGUGGACACACUAAUUACGCGCCCGAUGAUCGAGCGGAUCCCAAUUCAGAAUCGGUGAGAAAUCGCGGAAUCAGAGAUUGAAUUCCUCGUUUGUUGGAUGUUCGCGGUGCGAGUCCGUACAUUUGUACAUUUAACAACACGCACAGAUUCUCUCGAUCCAUCAAUACAGCAGUUUGUAUGAUAAUCCAAAUACACAAGAGUUCUGUUAUUAUUGGAAUUGUUAAUGACGCAAACGAGAAAGAUGUGUUUUAAAGACGUAUAAUUCCGUGUGAGUUAUUGAUUUACCUUAUUUAUUUGAACUCAAAAACUGUUUGUCUCUUAUUUCAAACAUCAGUGAUUACCAGUAUAAAAUUUGCAAUUAAUAAUAAUCUGUGUUAUGGAUUAAAUUGGCGCACAGACGUUCCGUACAUUCAAUCGCUUGAUUAGACACGAAGUUCGUUUAAUGUGAGAUUUAUUUCACAUUUUGCCUCGUUACGCGAUGAGUGCGAUUGAAACUACAAUAUCGUAUAUGCAUCUCAGUUUUUAUACACAUCAGGGAAAACGUUGCAUCAGUCUCGUCACGGAGCUUUUGUAAUGUAGACAAAGUGAGCGCGAAGACACGUGUGUGAAAGUGCACUAGAUAAUAAUUCAAACACAAACCGUUUAUAUAUUUAAGAGAAUCCAGAAGUAACAUUUUAUAAAUUAAUAGAGCUUGUCGAUGAGUGACAUAAACAAAUAUCGUUGGCCUAAGGUAGGAGCGAUGCAACGCUUUUUAUGUGUGUAUACUUGUGAUAGGUGUAAUUGCGCGAUCACAAAACAAUGGAUUAUCAGUCCUCGAUACCAUUUAAGAAAUUUGUACGAGAAUGCAAAUUACAUUAUAUAUAUAUAUACAUAUAUACAAUACGCCGCAAAUUUUUCAUCAAAAUGUACAAAUGCUUUUUUUCUCAUCAGUCGGCAAAACGAAUUCUUGUGAAGAUGCGCGCGCACGUGACGUCCGUAGAUUCGCCUGCUCGAUAAAUGCUCGAAGACACAAGAGAUACGCGGUCAGAGAGAGAAAGAGAAACACGGCGUUGCAGUUUAGAUUUACGAUAGAUAAACGAGACACUUAAUUCGUAAGAUAGAGUUUCCUACAUAGAGAUAGCACGCGAACGAGAUGCGCGCCGAGAAUCUAAUCGCUUAAGACACACACAAUACACACACACACACACACACACACACAUACAUAUAUCGACACUACUCUACAAGCGCAGCAUAUGUGAUUUUGUAAAUACGUGAGUGCAACGAGUGUAGCGUCGAUUCGAGACAAAAAUGAGAACGACGUCUCGCUUGUAUUCUUUCCCAUUUCCUCGCGAAGAAAACGAAUCAACGAAGAACCCGCUCGAUGAUUGUACUGCCGAUCUUUUCUAGAGAGACAACGAUCGCGUGAGCUUGGCUUCUUCUCACAUGUGUAUGUAUGUAUGUGUUUCUCUCGAUGUAUAUGCGCGGUGUAUAUGCGUGUGUGGUAAAUUCGUGCGAAAAAGGAUCCUGCAGAUGAGCAGGUGCAAUGUCCAGGAAGAACGAGCGCUCGCGAUCGCGGAAGUAUUUCUCCGGCUUGUCCAGACGUGCGUGAUUACGUGAUGAUGAAGAGGUAAGGAAAGAUGAGCGCGUGUAACACAGGGUAGACAAUAGGGACCAUCGAGAGAGAGACUGCUACCAGGAGCGAGCGAACGCGAUGGCGACGCGCGAGACGGCGAAUGUUCGUUUCAUGAAUAUUUCAACAUCCGUCGACGACGGUAAAUACCGAGCGUCGUGAAAUUAUGUUCCGCGAGCCAGUCGACCCAAAUAUGCGUUUUUCGCGACAAGAGGUUUCCUGCGAAGAAUAUUAUUCCGCGACACAGCAUCGUUUCGCGAACGAGAAAGAAAAGAAAUUUCCUUGAGACCAUUGUCGUGAAUGGCGCAGAAAUAUAACGUAGAAAUUGUAGAAAUUGCAAAUUUGUAUAUCACUUUUAGCUGGAACCGGUCGCGGAAUAUUUCACGUGUUAAUGAGAAAAAAUAUCUAUCUCUCUUUCUGUUAUAACGCUCUUUUUUUAAAAUAAAAAAAUCUUGAAUAAUCUUUUUAGAUAGUUAAAAGCGCAAUAUACACGCAAAUCAAUAUUACUUUCGACUUUAUAUUCCGCGAAUAUCACAAAAUCGUAAUUCUUUAUGGAAACAUAUGGAAUCCGGAAAAUGAUAAUAGUCCCGUUGCGGGAUUACAGCACAUAUUACAUUUCGAAGUAUAAUGGAAUGUUCGAAAGAGCGUAUUACCCCGCGCCGACAGCGUGCUCUGCGGCAUAUUACAUUUUCAAGUAUAAAAUUGUUUCACGGUGCCGAGUCUUUGAAUUUUCCCUCAAAGCUCCCGUCUCUCUUUUCCGGAAGAACGCAAUCUCUAUUCCGCGGACGCGUCGUGUAUACAAGAGGCGGGCCGAACUUUAUUACGGAGGAACGGCGCGCGGUUCUCGACGACUUGCGGGCGGUUCUCGAUCGACCGUGAACGGGAAUUCAUUCGGCACCGCAGGAGACCGAGGUUAGUAAACCUCUUUCGUUGUGGGAGGAACGGGUCAAUAAUGACGACGAAGCAGCCUCGCCUCGACUCGUGGCUGAAUCGCGCGUCGUCGAGGAAAAAGAGCGCGAGAGGACGACGCGAUAGAGGAAGGGGUGAGAGAGAAGAGGGUGAGAGAAGCGAAAGCAAGGGAGAGAACGUGCCACCUGUUACACCCUCGUCUUCUCGGACUCUUCCCUCUCUCCGGAUGGUCGGCGUGAACGUAAAGUCGAAAGUUCGAGGUUUCCUCGGCGCUCUUCUUCGGUGGGAACUGGCUAUCGCGGAAUGUUUUUCAAGCGACUCGCCAAAAGUUUUCGGUUGAAGGGAUUUCUAUUUGCGCGACGGCUAAUUCAAUCGCCCUCUCAUCCGGCCAUUACUGCAAUUGCUCCGCGAUUUAUUUUAUUUGCCAUCUUACGUAAUAAACUUAACGAUCUUAUAUUUGCGAUCUUAAUUUGAGUGAAAUGGUUCAACGCGAAAGUGGAUUUUAAAUUGUUGUUUUCGCGUCGAGUUUGCGCUGCACGUCUGCCAUUUCUUCGCCCAUUCCUGAGCAUCGGCGAUCGUGACGCACCAACUAUUUCGUGGGAAUUUCUUCUUCGAGAUACGUACGGCCACGCGGCAGAACGGAGAGUGGAUCGACUUGUCUCGACGAAGCGAAUUGUGAAAUCGUGCGAGAUGGUCAAACACAAUAAGCUUGGAACUAUGUACUCAACAUGAUAAACCAUGUUCG
Long non-coding RNA from Pseudomyrmex gracilis, 7541 nucleotides. RefSeq lists it as uncharacterized. The transcript has 3 exons. NCBI's taxonomy places the organism in Eukaryota, Metazoa, Arthropoda, Insecta, Hymenoptera, Formicidae. The record is from RefSeq and is a predicted model, not a curated record.